Molecule: ribosomal RNA, 986 nt
Filed under: uncultured bacterium
Lineage: Bacteria
Description: bacterial SSU rRNA
Rfam family: Bacterial small subunit ribosomal RNA
Source: RNAcentral
CCGACGGUGAGGGAUGAAGGCCUCUGGGCUGUAAACCUCUUUUAUCAAGGAAGAAGAUCUGACGGUACUUGAUGAAUAAGCCACGGCUAAUUCCGUGCCAGCAGCCGCGGUAAUACGGGAGUGGCAAGCGUUAUCCGGAAUUAUUGGGCGUAAAGCGUCCGCAGGCGGCCCAACAAGUCUGCUGUUAAAAAGUGGAGCUUAACUCCAUCAUGGCAGUGGAAACUGUUGGGCUAGAGUGUGGUAGGGGCAGAGGGAAUUCCCGGUGUAGCGGUGAAAUGCGUAGAUAUCGGGAAGAACACCAGUGGCGAAGGCGCUCUGCUGGGCCAUCACUGACGCUCAUGGACGAAAGCCAGGGGAGCGAAAGGGAUUAGAUACCCCUGUAGUCCUGGCCGUAAACGAUGAACACUAGGUGUCGGGGGAAUCGACCCCUCCGGUGUCGUAGCCAACGCGUUAAGUGUUCCGCCUGGGGAGUACGCACGCAAGUGUGAAACUCAAAGGAAUUGACGGGGGCCCGCACAAGCGGUGGAGUAUGUGGUUUAAUUCGAUGCAACGCGAAGAACCUUACCAGGGUUUGACAUCCUGCGAAUCUCUUGGAAACUUGAGAGUGCCUUCGGGAGCGCAGUGACAGGUGGUGCAUGGCUGUCGUCAGCUCGUGUCGUGAGAUGUUGGGUUAAGUCCCGCAACGAGCGCAACCCACGUCUUUAGUUGCCAGCAUUUAGUUGGGCACUCUAGAGAGACCGCCGGUGAUAAACCGGAGGAAGGUGUGGAUGACGUCAAGUCAUCAUGCCCCUUACAUCCUGGGCUACACACGUACUACAAUGCUACGGACAAAGGGCAGCAAGUUCGCGAGGACAAGCAAAUCCCAUAAACCGUAGCUCAGUUCAGAUCGUAGCUGCAACUCGCCUACGUGAAGGAGGAAUCGCUAGUAAUCGCAGUCAGCAUACUGCGGUGAAUACGUUCCCGGGCUUGCACUCACGCCCGUAGGC